Molecule: transfer-messenger RNA, 363 nt
Filed under: Escherichia coli
Lineage: Bacteria; Pseudomonadati; Pseudomonadota; Gammaproteobacteria; Enterobacterales; Enterobacteriaceae
Rfam family: transfer-messenger RNA
About the family: Bacterial tmRNA, also known as 10Sa RNA or SsrA, is named for its dual tRNA and mRNA-like properties.
Source: RNAcentral
GGGGCUGAUUCUGGAUUCGACGGGAUUUGCGAAACCCAAGGUGCAUGCCGAGGGGCGGUUGGCCUCGUAAAAAGCCGCAAAAAAUAGUCGCAAACGACGAAAACUACGCUUUAGCAGCUUAAUAACCUGCUUAGAGCCCUCUCUCCCUAGCCUCCGCUCUUAGGACGGGGAUCAAGAGAGGUCAAACCCAAAAGAGAUCGCGUGGAAGCCCUGCCUGGGGUUGAAGCGUUAAAACUUAAUCAGGCUAGUUUGUUAGUGGCGUGUCCGUCCGCAGCUGGCAAGCGAAUGUAAAGACUGACUAAGCAUGUAGUACCGAGGAUGUAGGAAUUUCGGACGCGGGUUCAACUCCCGCCUGCUCCACCA